This is an RNA transcript of Lipotes vexillifer (Yangtze River dolphin), 705 nucleotides long. It is a transcript of the gene named 60S ribosomal protein L13 pseudogene, with no coding region annotated. NCBI's taxonomy places the organism in Eukaryota, Metazoa, Chordata, Mammalia, Artiodactyla, Lipotidae. The transcript has a single exon. The record is from RefSeq and is a predicted model, not a curated record.
CUUUGCGCCGCCGUGAGCCCUCGGAGGAGGCCAGUCAGCCGCAGCCGUGGCACCCAGCCGGAAUGGCAUGAUCCUGAAGCCCCAGUCCCACAAGGACCGUCAGGGGCGCGUGGCCACGUGGUUCAACCAGCCGGCCGGCAAAAUCCGCAGACGCAAGGGCCAGCAGGCCAAGGCGCGCCUCCUCGCCCCGCGCCCCACGUCUGGCCUCCUCCAGCCGGUGGUGAGAUGCCCCACGGUCAGGUACCACAGCAAGGCGGGCGCCGGCAGGGGCUUCAGCCUGGAGGAGCUGAGGGUGGCUGGCAUCCACAGGAAGGUGGCCCGGACCAUUGGGAUCUCAGUGGACCCAAGGCGGCAGAACAAGCGCACGGAGUCCCUGCCGGCCAACGUGCAGCGGCACAAGGAGGAUCCAAGUUCAUCCUCUUCCCCAGGAAGCCCUCGGCCCCCAAGAAGGGAGACUGCACUGCUGAAGAGCUCGGGUUGGCCACCCAGCUGACGGGACCAGUCAUGCCCCUACGAAACGUCUACAAGAAGGAGAAAGCCAGAGUCAUGACAGAGGAGGAAAAGAACUUCAAGGUGGUCGCCAGGCUCCGCAUGGCCCGUGCCAUCGCCUGGCUCUUUGGCAUCCCGGCAAAAAGGGCCAAGGAGGCUGCAGAACAGGAUGUUGAAAAGAAAAAAAUAAGGUGCUCUUGGCAAAUUGUGAUUUAA